UUACAGAUGCCUUUCUCAUGUAUCUGUAGCGUGCUGUCUCAGUUGAGCCUUCCGUCUUAACUUUUUAUCUGGACCUAGAACACCUUAAUAUUAGGUCGUCAUCUGCCAAAGAAUACUUAGUCAUUUAAUUUGUUGACAUGCCAUGUUGUAAUUCAGGCAGGCUAUUAAUGUAUGCGGAGUCUAUGGAUACUGAAAAACUAAUGUUUAGUCAUACGGUUUGUGAUGUACGUU
RNAcentral lists this long non-coding RNA (231 nucleotides) under Setaria italica (foxtail millet). RNAcentral's name for it is "long non-coding RNA (SITA_LNC002207)". Lineage: Eukaryota; Viridiplantae; Streptophyta; Magnoliopsida; Poales; Poaceae. The record is from RNAcentral.